This 327-nucleotide ribosomal RNA is filed under the name uncultured bacterium. Its description in RNAcentral is "bacterial SSU rRNA". It matches the Rfam family "Bacterial small subunit ribosomal RNA", at positions 471 to 793 of the family's 1533-position model. The record is from RNAcentral.
GACGUUACCGACAGAAUAAGCACCGGCUAACUCUGUGCCAGCAGCCGCGGUAAUACAGAGGUGCAAGCGUUAAUCGGAAUUACUGGGCGUAAAGCGCGCGUAGGUGGUUUGUUAAGUUGGAUGUGAAAGACCCCGGGCUCAAACCUGGGAACUGCAUACCAAAACUAGGCAAGCUAGAGUACGGUAGAGGGUGGUGGAAUUUCCUGUGUAGCGGUGAAAUGCGUAGAUAUAGGAAGGAACACCAGUGGCGAAGGCGACCACCUGGACUGAUACUGACACUGAGGUGACGAAAGCGUGGGGAGCAAACAGGAUUAGAUACCCUGGUAG